ACGGGGCGCAGCAGGCGCGAAAACUUCACAAUGCGCGAAAGCGCGAUGAGGGAAUCCCAAGUGCUUGCACGUAAGUGUAAGCUGUUUCUAUGUCUAAAACGCAUAGAGAGUAAGAGCUGGGUAAGACGGGUGCCAGCCGCCGCGGUAAUACCUGCAGCUCUAGUGGUGGCCGCUAUUAUUGGGCCUAAAACGUCCGUAGCCGGCUUAUUAAAUGCCUGGGUAAAUCGUACGGCUUAACCGUACGAAUUCCGGGUAGACUGAUAGGCUUGGGACCGGGAGAAGCUAGAGGUACUCUUGGGGUAGAGGUGAAAUUCUGUAAUCCUAGGGGGACCACCAGUGGCGAAGGCGUCUAGCUAGAACGGGUUUGACGGUGAGGGACGAAGCCCUGGGGAGCAAACGGGAUUAGAUACCCCGGUAGUCCAGGGUGUAAACGCUGCUUGCUUGAUGUUAGUUGGGCUCCGUGCCCGAUUAGUGUCGGAGAGAAGUUGUUAAGCAAGCUGCCUGGGAAGUACGGCCGCGAGACUGAAACUUAAAGGAAUUGGCGGGGGAGCA
Molecule: ribosomal RNA, 552 nt
Filed under: uncultured archaeon
Lineage: Archaea
Description: bacterial SSU rRNA
Rfam family: Archaeal small subunit ribosomal RNA
Source: RNAcentral